Paralichthys olivaceus (Japanese flounder) is the source of this 795-nucleotide non-coding RNA. NCBI's taxonomy places the organism in Eukaryota, Metazoa, Chordata, Actinopteri, Pleuronectiformes, Paralichthyidae. The record is from RefSeq and is a predicted model, not a curated record.
UCAGUGAAGUGUGAGCAUGUCUCCCCUUUCUGUCUUUCUUAGAUUUUGUCCUCUUCUCUCUACUUUCUAAUACUUUUUUAAUUGAAUCUUACACUAAAGAUGGGUGCAGCGGUGCAUUUUGGUUCCUUUUUCCCUCCCUUAGUUAAGUUGAGCUUAACUAAGUUAGCUGGCGGCCCAUUCUUUGCAUUUAGUCUGCUUAAAGUAGAAGAAAAGAACGGCAGGCCUCCAUCAUGUGGACAGCAACUGCCUCAGACAGGUGUCAAUCCUCCAGCGAACUCGUCCUGCUGCCACGAUGGAGCAUGAAACGGCCUCUCCUGCUGGAAGAACAAGAGGUGUGUGGGCUCCCUGAAGUGGCACAACACCGGGUCAUUGGAGAGCCACAGCGUGUUUGGGCACAGAACUAUCUGUGUUAUUUCAGCACAGCCUGUUGGAUGGAGAACCAUUUCACAGGCAUUAUGGAUUAAUCUUUGGCAGGAUCUCUCCAGGAUCAAACCAAAUUGGAUGUUUAACCUCACGUGUCCUCGAGCUGAGUGUCCUCUGAUAAACACGGAUAGAGAGGAUUGAAUGUGACCCACAUAUUUUUUCUAAAUGUAUUACCUGACUCCCUAUGAAAGGAUGGAAAUGUAGUUACUCUGUACAGUGAACAUCCUUCUUCAGGUGAGUCAUCCAAAGAAAUACAAAUUCAUUGUGUUUAAAUAGAGCUAUCACUUAACACAAAAAACAUUGAGCAGGUUUUUUGUCCAGCUAAUUCUAAGAUUGUUUUGUUUAAAACAAUAAAAUUGUAAAUUGAAAAAA